RNAcentral lists this ribosomal RNA (548 nucleotides) under Cercopagis pengoi. RNAcentral's name for it is "SSU rRNA". It matches the Rfam family "Eukaryotic small subunit ribosomal RNA", at positions 44 to 662 of the family's 1831-position model. Lineage: Eukaryota; Metazoa; Arthropoda; Branchiopoda; Diplostraca; Cercopagididae. The record is from RNAcentral.
UUAAGCCAUGCAUGUCUAAGUACAAGCCGCUAGUCGGCGAAACCGCGAAUGGCUCAAUAAAUCAGUUAUGGUUCCUUAGAUCUUUCCAUCCUACUUGGAUAACUGUGGUAAUUCUAGAGCUAAUACAUGCACCACAAGCUUCUUUCCGCUGAUCGCACGGCCUCCGCGCCGGCGACGCAUCUUUCAAAUGUCUGCCUUAUCAACUUUCGAUGGUAGGUUAUGCGCCUACCAUGGUUGCAACGGGUAACGGGGAAUCGGGGUUCGAUUCCGGAGAGGGAGCCUGAGAAACGGCUACCACAUCCAAGGAAGGCAGCAGGCGCGCAAAUUACCCACUCCCGGCACGGGGAGGUAGUGACGAAAAAUAACGAUACGGGACUCUUCCGAGGCCCCGUGAUUGGAAUGAGUACACUUUAAAUCCUUUAACGAGGACCUAUUGGAGGGCAAGUCUGGUGCCAGCAGCCGCGGUAACUCCAGCUCCAAUAGCGUAUAUUAAAGUUGUUGCGGUUAAAAAGCUCGUAGUUGGAUUCCUGUCUUCGGCCGGGCGGUGC